Long non-coding RNA from Epinephelus fuscoguttatus (brown-marbled grouper), 746 nucleotides. RefSeq lists it as uncharacterized. NCBI's taxonomy places the organism in Eukaryota, Metazoa, Chordata, Actinopteri, Perciformes, Serranidae. The transcript is spliced from 5 exons. The record is from RefSeq and is a predicted model, not a curated record.
ACCACUUCCUCAGGUCAGGUGAACUCUUGAGCUGUGGCCAGACUGCCCUGCACCUUCUCCGGCGUCUCCAUAGUAACCUCUGCGCUCUCCAUCGUCUCCACGCAGUUUGCCGUUGCUCCGGUAAAAGUGCGCCAUUCCUCUGAUAGUCGCAGCCGUUACUGCCUGGGUAACACAAUAGAGGAAAACACUCGCUGGGCCUGAUCUUUCCUAAUUGGGGCAACACAGACCCAACGUCCCGCCCCCUAUCCAAUCAAGCCUCAGUUACAGUUAAAGGGGAGCUCCGCUAUUUUUCACUACCACACCUGUUUACAGGGCCGUGCCGCUUCCGUCUGCCAAACGCCUGGGCACCCACGUUGGUGGGAACGAAGUUGCUGUGUCCCAGUCCUCCUGACCGACUCAGGAAGUCAGCCAGACGGAAUAAUGUCACAACUCUCACCUGGAAGGAGCUGCCUGCGAGACAUACAUCUGACAGAUGAUCAGCGCAGAGGCAAAAAGGAGAGUCCAGAGUUUCAGCAUUAUUCUGAUUCCCUGUGGAAAACACAUACAAUACCAAACAAGGUGAAGUUGCAGAGGCAGAUAGAAGAGUUAUUAGUGAUAUAGUGACACUGGAGGCUUUGCCAGCAGCUCUGUCCAUUAGCUGAAUUAGCUGUAGCCUUACAUAGAUAGUAUAACGUCAUCACACCAACAAAGCUGCAUCUCCCUUCUUAUAGCAACCAGUAUCCACCAGUGGCUAUCCAGUCCACUCA